Molecule: long non-coding RNA, 387 nt
Filed under: Callithrix jacchus (white-tufted-ear marmoset)
Lineage: Eukaryota; Metazoa; Chordata; Mammalia; Primates; Cebidae
Description: lncRNA (ENSCJAG00000052997.2)
Source: RNAcentral
GUUUAACUCAGUAGCUCUAGUAUCUCUCUGAUCCUCUCCCAGAGGGUCUGAAGCUUUCAGCCUCCUGAACGGGUAAGCUCCCCCUCUAGUGUUCACUGCUCAUCAAAUUAUUCCUCCAACAAAUAAGACAGGAACUGCCUGUUUUUUGAUUCCCUAUCGAAGGACGGAGCUUGAUUACUGUUUAAUGACACAAAGAGGAAAAGACCAGUCUAUGGCAAAUUCCACUGGGACAUCCCAUUCGCCACAAGGACUGAAAUGACCCACUCCGAAAGCAGCAUGUGAAGCUUUGAGCCUUUCUUCCCCCCGCCACUCUCCAGAGAACAUUAAAUCGUACUUUUCAUUCCCCUCACCAUAGGGGGAACCCCCUUAAUGAUGACAGAGAAAGAA